This 189-nucleotide ribosomal RNA is filed under the name uncultured bacterium. RNAcentral's name for it is "partial 16S ribosomal RNA". It matches the Rfam family "Bacterial small subunit ribosomal RNA", at positions 338 to 524 of the family's 1533-position model. The record is from RNAcentral.
CCUACGGGAGGCAGCAGUGAGGAAUAUUGGACAAUGGAUGGAAAUCUGAUCCAGCCAUGCCGCGUGCAGGAAGACGGCCCAAUGGGUUGUAAACUGCUUUUAUAUGGGAGCAAUAAGGUCUACGCGUAGACCGAUGAGAGUACCAUAUGAAUAAGCAUCGGCUAACUCCGUGCCAGCAGCCGCGGUAAU